RNAcentral lists this long non-coding RNA (673 nucleotides) under Rattus norvegicus (Norway rat). RNAcentral describes it as "long non-coding RNA NONRATT000207". The record is from RNAcentral. Lineage: Eukaryota; Metazoa; Chordata; Mammalia; Rodentia; Muridae.
CACAUCAAAGCACUCAACACACAAUAUCCAUUGCCAAAAGCAAAGGAAUGCAUGGUUUCAAACUCUUACGUUGUUAAUGUAAUGUCAGUGGCUGAGAUUUUAAAAAAAAAAAUCAGAGGCAAUUUAAAAAAAAUCAUUCUAAUUUCAAAGAAAAGAAAAAAAUUGUCCAAAAUUAUGUUCCAUGAAAACCAUCUCAGGCAUGGCUUGUUUUCUUAUUCACAAUGUGUACAUCGUUGGUUAGUGUCCUACAGCAGGCUACAACCUUGCCAAUCUGUGUGUUCUGGCAAAGAAACGCAUGCCUCAUUAGUCUGCGGUGCCAUUACACUAGACACCAGCAUAGCAGCCAUCUGUUUGAUAUUAACCAGUUUAAAUAUAGCUAAAUCUGGAGCCCGGGUUAUCGAAUAGUAGGUUGGGGUGGCAUGAUUUAAAUCUUUAUUCUAGAUGUGAAAUGUCUAAGGAUUUCAUUGGAUAAUAAUAAAUCCCAUCUCUAGAAUCAAUGUCAAAGGGGAAAAAUAGGCAAUAACUACGCUUUUGUAUUAAAGUGAAAACUAUGUAAAUUUUUAAAACUUAAGGGAGCUGUCGAAACAACACUUUCAUUAUUAAUCACUCAAAUAUCCUAAUACUUAAAAUAGUCUAUUAAAAAUAGCAAUAAAGUAAAAAUAGAAAUUAAGCA